Molecule: ribosomal RNA, 510 nt
Filed under: uncultured bacterium
Lineage: Bacteria
Description: partial 16S ribosomal RNA
Rfam family: Bacterial small subunit ribosomal RNA
Source: RNAcentral
GACGAACGCUGGCGGCGUGCUUAACACAUGCAAGUCGAACGAAGGGCGACGGAAGCUUGCUUCUAUCAAUUUUAGUGGCGAACGGGUGAGUAACGCGUAAUCAACCUGCCCUUCAGAGGGGUACAACAGUUGGAAACGACUUCUAAUACCGCAUACGAUCUAAUCUCGUCAUCGAGGAUGGAUGAAAGGUGGCCUCUACACUUAAGCUAUCACUGAAGGAGGGGAUUGCGUCUGAUUAGCUAGCUGGGGAGGUAACGGCCCAACAAUGCGAAGAUCAGUAGCCGGACCUGGAGGAGGGACGGCCCACUUGGGACCGGAGACACGCCCCGAAUUCUACGGGGAGGAGCCGUGGGGAAUCUUUCGGCAUGGACGAAAGUCUGACGGGGGCACGCCGGGUGAGUGAAGAAGGGCCUCGGGUUGUAAAGCUCCGUUAAUCGGGAAGAAAGGCCUUCUUGAGAAUCGUGAGAAGGAUUGACGGUACCGAAAUAGAAAGCCACGGCUAACUACGUG